AGCUCAUUGGUCGAGCGUUGGCUUUGGAAGCCACAGGUCGGUGGUUUAAGUCCACC
RNAcentral lists this transfer RNA (56 nucleotides) under Phytophthora infestans (potato late blight agent). It matches the Rfam family "tRNA", at positions 9 to 63 of the family's 71-position model. Rfam says of the family: Transfer RNA (tRNA) molecules are approximately 80 nucleotides in length. The record is from Rfam by way of RNAcentral. RNAcentral also lists the same sequence under 1 other name. Lineage: Eukaryota; Oomycota; Peronosporomycetes; Peronosporales; Peronosporaceae.